This 899-nucleotide long non-coding RNA is filed under the name Phasianus colchicus (ring-necked pheasant). RNAcentral describes it as "lncRNA (ENSPCLG00000003678.1)". Lineage: Eukaryota; Metazoa; Chordata; Aves; Galliformes; Phasianidae. The record is from RNAcentral.
CAGCACCAUAACUCCAGACGUUGCCUGUUUGUCUAUCAAUUAUAACUUGUGCCUUUUUUGAUGGUCCCUGCCUCUGAGUAGGACUAGAUUUAAUAAACAUGAGUUUAGUGAAGAUAAGACUACGUUAUCUGAGUACCACAGAGGUGGGAAAAAAAUAUGAUAUCAAAGAGAGAAGAGCUAUACCUGCUAGAACUGGUGUAAAUUAGUCUUUCCUUUUCCUACCCCAGGAACUUUCGUGUUACACCUGAUAGAAAGCGAGAGAAAUAAAACUAGACAUGGUCCACAGAGAGCCUAUAAUUGAAUACCUCCACCUCUGACCACUGUGCUCUGGGCCUCUUUCUGUGCAAAUUGCAGGAAGGAAGUUGCAGUUAAAAUAAUUAAAUGAGUUUUCAGAAGAUAAGAUGUAUAAAAUACCAGCACUUGAGUUUGCAGUGUCAGAAAAUUUCAAGACUAUAUUUCCAUGUAUCGAAGACGACAGAAAGCUCCAUAUAAAGCAGUAUGCUUUGCUCUGAGCCUUUUAUUUUUCACAGUCCAAGAAGAUUAGAUCAACUGGUGACACUUGGUCAACUGGAUGGAUAAGCUGGUCUAAAAAGACAUCAGUUGGUUACACUGUACUUUUCCCUUGUGUACCCAUAUUAGUUGUGAGCAAUGUCUGCAUUGUCUUUCAUUUAUUUUUCAGUAGCUCCUAUAAUAAUGUUCUCCACAUUCUUGCCAGGCACUGAACUCUAAUCAUUAGCUUUUUCUUUCUUAUCCUUCUUGAAAACUGGGAUGUUCAUCAGCUUCCAAUCAACUGGGUCCUCAACAUAUUAAAAGAUUUUCGAGAAAGACAAAUCAGUCCAGCCACUCACAGUGCUGGUGGUCAGUUUGAAAGUCCAUCCCAGGCUACAGUCUAGACUUCC